This 253-nucleotide ribosomal RNA is filed under the name uncultured bacterium. Its description in RNAcentral is "partial 16S ribosomal RNA". It matches the Rfam family "Bacterial small subunit ribosomal RNA", at positions 524 to 776 of the family's 1533-position model. The record is from RNAcentral.
UACGUAGGGUGCAAGCGUUAUUCGGAAUUACUGGGCGUAAAGGGAGUGUAGGCGGGAAGGUAAGUUAGGAGUGAAAUUUACGGGCUCAACCUGUAACGUGCUUUUAAUACUGCUUUUCUUGAGUAUUGGAGAGGUAGACGGAAUUCCAGGUGUAGCGGUGGAAUGCGUAGAUAUCUGGAAGAACACCAGUUGCGAAGGCGGUCUACUGGCCAAAUACUGACGCUGAGACUCGAAAGUUAGGGGAGCAAACAGG